This 253-nucleotide ribosomal RNA is filed under the name uncultured bacterium. RNAcentral describes it as "partial 16S ribosomal RNA". It matches the Rfam family "Bacterial small subunit ribosomal RNA", at positions 524 to 776 of the family's 1533-position model. The record is from RNAcentral.
UACGUAGGUGGCAAGCGUUGUCCGGAUUUACUGGGUGUAAAGGGCGCGUAGGCGGGUAUGCAAGUCAGAUGUGAAAUUUAUGGGCUUAACCCAUAAACUGCAUUUGAAACUGCGUAUCUUGAGUGAUGGAGAGGUAAGUGGAAUUCCUAGUGUAGCGGUGGAAUGCGUAGAUAUUAGGAGGAACACCAGUGGCGAAGGCGACUUACUGGACAUUAACUGACGCUGAGGCGCGAAAGCGUGGGGAGCAAACAGG